CUAAACUAAAAUGAAUUCAGAGCUCUUAUGGAAUGCAGUUCCUCUGCAGUGCUCACCAUAAAUACUGGUGAAAGUGUAUCUCAAUUUGUGAAGUCAUUCAACAGUCCAGUUCCGCACUCUCUAUCAUCAAACUGACACAACAGUAACAAGAAAAGCAAGAAUAUGAAAACAAAUAGCCCACUUCUGAAGGAAGAAAAUUUGCAAUCCAGAGGCAAAGGCAAUUCGGCAGCCAAGAGCUGCAGUGAAUCACAGGGAGCUAAUAGUCACAUCUACUAAUGCUCCCCCACAACACCUUCAAGCAAAUGGAUUUCACUCACAUAUUAAUCAGUCAAAUCAGCAAUGAUCCCAGAUGGAUAGAAAUGUUUGUUAAGCAAACUCUAAUUUGCGAUUUAUUUAUUCAUGAAGUGACUUAAAGCUGGGUUUGCUAGAAGAAUUACUAUGCUUAUGAAGCAUGCUGACAGUCCUGGUUUAUCCUGGUAAUUUUUCCUGCAGCUCACAGCAUGGCUGACAGUCAUCUGCCAGGACUUUUAUAUAUUAACCAUUAAAUCAUGCAACCAUAUUUACCUCCAAAAGAUGUAGCAAAAAAAAAAAAUCAGUCUCCUCCAGUUUCCAUAGCCCAUGCAGUGUUAGUUAAUUCGAAGGAAGAGUCCUAUAGCUUGCCGAGGCCAGCAGUGUGCAUCUCCUACACUUGACCUAGCCCGCCUUACAUAAUGAGGAGUCCGUGCUGGAUCCUGUGCGGUACAGCUAGCUGAAUGUCAUCACUGGCAAGAAAAGGGGGUAUUGGCAGCAGCUAAGCAGGCAGGAAGGCUGGUACUCUGCAGGAGAUCACGGACUCCUUUUUUCCAAUUCACUGUUCUGGGAGGAGCGUUCAGAAGAGCAACCUCGAGAAGCAGUUCUACUUCUAGUCCGAAUUACCGGAAACAACAAAAGAAGGAGCAGAGUACUGGUUCAGACCCACAGACUUCUGCGGCUGCACGGUUUUAUCGACAUUUAACUCCUUGUGAUGAGGAACUGAGACAAAUCGGGUUAGAAGACUUGCUCAGGUUCACACAGCUAGUAAGUGUCUGA
RNAcentral lists this long non-coding RNA (1068 nucleotides) under Monodelphis domestica (gray short-tailed opossum). RNAcentral's name for it is "lncRNA (ENSMODG00000042268.1)". The record is from RNAcentral. Lineage: Eukaryota; Metazoa; Chordata; Mammalia; Didelphimorphia; Didelphidae.